Long non-coding RNA from Dermacentor silvarum, 548 nucleotides. RefSeq lists it as uncharacterized. The transcript has 5 exons. NCBI's taxonomy places the organism in Eukaryota, Metazoa, Arthropoda, Arachnida, Ixodida, Ixodidae. The record is from RefSeq and is a predicted model, not a curated record.
GGCGGCGCCCUUCGCGUGCGCAGCAGAGCGAUAUUUUGGACACCAGUGGACACGAAAGGUGUGUUGCGAGGCCAUUGCAAUGCCCCGCAAUUUGAGUGCGACGGAUUUUGCCGUUCCGCGAACAACGUACCUGCUGCACCAUUCCAGGCCGCUUGGUGCUCAUACUGUGGGCACAGCCCAGUACAACAUGCUCGAAUUGGGACAACCCAGGAUGUGUAUUUCUCAGCACCCAAUCAACUGCCAGAAGUGACUCACACACAGGCCACCAGGUCAACCCAGGACAUGGGUUUCUCAGCACCCAGUCAGAAGUAACUCAACCACAGGCCACCAGUGGCACUCAGCUGUACCACUGCACUGCUGCUGAAAUUGCCAGCACCAGCGGCUUUGUAACAGCUGUUUCACAGCAUCUCGGAGACAAUGCCUACAAAAUUAUUGGCCCUGAUGACGAGAGCCCUCAAGGGGCAAACGACAUCUCUGUUGCAGAAGUGAGCCCGAUACCACCUUAAGUUACCAUGACAGAUGACACGGCUGCAAUAGAUACAGAGACU